AAACGCGAGAGUUUGAUCCUGGCUCAGGACGAACGCUGGCGGCGUGCCUAACACAUGCAAGUCGAGCGGGGAACGGAU
This 78-nucleotide ribosomal RNA is filed under the name Clostridiales bacterium. RNAcentral's name for it is "partial 16S ribosomal RNA". It matches the Rfam family "Bacterial small subunit ribosomal RNA", at positions 1 to 78 of the family's 1533-position model. The record is from RNAcentral. Lineage: Bacteria; Bacillati; Bacillota; Clostridia; Eubacteriales.